Molecule: ribosomal RNA, 422 nt
Filed under: Fusobacteriota bacterium
Lineage: Bacteria; Fusobacteriati; Fusobacteriota
Description: Fusobacteria bacterium partial 16S ribosomal RNA
Rfam family: Bacterial small subunit ribosomal RNA
Source: RNAcentral
UGGGGGAUUUUGCACAAUGGGCGCAAGCCUGAUGCAGCGACGCCGCGUGAGGGAUGAAGGCCUUCGGGUUGUAAACCUCUUUCGCUGGGUUGAAAGGCCAUGCUUUGGGUGUGGUUGAUUUGAACUGGUAAAGAAGUACCGGCUAACUACGUGCCAGCAGCCGCGGUAAUACGUAGGGUACUAGCGUUGUCCGGAUUUAUUGGGCGUAAAGGGCUUGUAGGUGGUUUGUCGCGUCUGUCGUGAAAUCCUGUGGCUUAACCAUGGGCUUGCGGUGGGUACGGGCAGGCUUGAGUGCGGUAGGGGAGACUGGAAUUCCUGGUGUAGCGGUGGAAUGCGCAGAUAUCAGGAGGAACACCGGUGGCGAAGGCGGGUCUCUGGGCCGUUACUGAAACUGAGGAGCGAAAGCGUGGGGAGCGAACAGG